CGUCCUCUUAAAAACAUUGGAAUUUUGUGCCAUGUGAAUGAAUUAUCUUCUGAAAAAUUAAACUCAUGCCCCUGCUGAUGGACUGGCUGAACAAGUUCAAUCCUGUUCAGGAUACAACCACAUAACAGUUCUGGAGCAAUCAACUAUCCUAACUUUCUUCAAACUGACCAACCCUACAUUAGAUGCUUUAAAGCCCCCAGACCUGGAGAAGAGACUGGGUUUUGGCUUUCUGAGUCAUGUUGUGGGUCUGUGUGUGUGUUUCCCUCAUCCCCAUCACCUUUGGAGAGGGUCUUUUUCUCUGUAUGUGUGUCUGUUGUGUAUGUGUUUCUUCCUCCACAAUCCCCAAUAAAUGCCUUUCUUUAAUUGCUGAUUCUA
Molecule: long non-coding RNA, 375 nt
Organism: Mastomys coucha (southern multimammate mouse)
Lineage: Eukaryota; Metazoa; Chordata; Mammalia; Rodentia; Muridae
Exons: 2
Source: RefSeq, a predicted model, not a curated record